RNAcentral lists this transfer RNA (72 nucleotides) under Fukomys damarensis (Damara mole-rat). It matches the Rfam family "tRNA". From Rfam's summary of the family: Transfer RNA (tRNA) molecules are approximately 80 nucleotides in length. Their secondary structure includes four short double-helical elements and three loops (D, anti-codon, and T loops). Further hydrogen bonds mediate the characteristic L-shaped molecular structure. tRNAs have two regions of fundamental functional importance: the anti-codon, which is responsible for specific mRNA codon recognition, and the 3' end, to which the tRNAs corresponding amino acid is attached (by aminoacyl-tRNA synthetases). tRNAs cope with the degeneracy of the genetic code in two manners: having more than one tRNA (with a specific anti-codon) for a particular amino acid; and 'wobble' base-pairing, i.e. permitting non-standard base-pairing at the 3rd anti-codon position. The record is from Rfam by way of RNAcentral. Lineage: Eukaryota; Metazoa; Chordata; Mammalia; Rodentia; Bathyergidae.
GGAGAUGAAGUUCAGUUAUAGAGCACUUGCCUAACAUGCUUAAGGCCCUGGGUUCAAUUCCCAGUACUGCCA